AAAGUGGAUUGGUUUGUGUGAAGAUGCAGUGGAGGUGCAAAUACUGUAUGCAUGGAGUUCAACAGGAUUGUUGGCAAGAAUCUCAAGCAGGAAUUCUAUGAGAGCAUCGAUCGACAUAG
Molecule: long non-coding RNA, 119 nt
Organism: Nematolebias whitei (Rio pearlfish)
Lineage: Eukaryota; Metazoa; Chordata; Actinopteri; Cyprinodontiformes; Rivulidae
Exons: 3
Source: RefSeq, a predicted model, not a curated record